This is a long non-coding RNA of Acipenser ruthenus (sterlet), 2367 nucleotides long. RefSeq lists it as uncharacterized. The transcript has 3 exons. NCBI's taxonomy places the organism in Eukaryota, Metazoa, Chordata, Actinopteri, Acipenseriformes, Acipenseridae. The record is from RefSeq and is a predicted model, not a curated record.
UUGCCCUUUGAAUAAACAGUGGCGAUGGGACGAGUGGGGGACAGUUUCAGUGUAUUUAACUUAACUAGAAGGUUAAAGUGUAGUCGUGUAAUUUAAUGCAGUGCCAAAUAGAAAAAAAAAAAAAAAUGUCUGAGCAAAAAAGACCCAGAGAUCAAGAGGACAGGACAGACAUCAAACGGCAAAAGGAAAAUACAUUAAAGCAUCUGGACCGAUCUGUAAGGAAGCAAGCAAAAAAAACUGAACCAAGUACUGAAAAUCAAACAUAUAGAGAGACCUUGUAAGGAAACAAACUGUUCUACGUCUUUGGUUCUGUAUUACGUUGAACUUAUGAGAAGCCCCCUCCUAGUCUGAUAAAGGAGGAUGAUGACAAACCUGAGGACUGUAUACCCAACUCUCCAGGCAAUCAAGAUGCAUGGGAAUUUCUGGCCUAAAGGUCUCUGGAUGCCUAAAGGUCACUAAAGGUCUCUGGAUGGCAAAGAAGUAAAGGUCAUGCAGUGUAAGUACAGUCAACAAAGUGGUGGAGGAAAAAAGGCAGCAGCCACAGUGCAUUGGUAAUUGGUAGGUAGAAGGUAGUGUUACACAUGAUGUGCUCCACAGUGUCACAACCUCUACUGUAGCACAUAAGGGUGUAUAUGUUCUGUGUUGCCAGUAGUUGAAGCAUCUGAUAUUGUGGAUAUAAUAACUCACUCACGAUCAUGACCUGUUCUCUUGACCCUUGUCCAUCUAAGUUGGUAGUUCAAUGUUCCGACCUGUCUUGCUUCUCAAAUUACUAAAGUUAUAAAUCUCUCUAGAUUCUGGAGUGGUUCCACCGGCAUUAAAACGUUCCACUGUGACACCAAUUCUGAAAAAACCCUCAUUAGACCCUGAUACUUUAAAUAACUAUCGUCCAAUAUCAAACUUGUCUUUUGUGGCCAAGGUUCUGGAGAAGGUUGUUACUAGACAAAUACUAGAUUUAUAUUUCUACUAAUCAUCUCUUUAAAAAAAUUAAAUCUGGAUUCUUGAAACAACAUAGUACUGAGUCAGCACUGGUACGCAUAGUCAAUGACCUGAUCAGUGCAGAUAACCCAUAGUAGUGAGUCAGCACUGGUACGCAUAGUUAAUGACCUGAUCAGUGCAGAUAACCCAUAGUAGUGAGUCAGCACUGGUACGCAUAGUUAAUGACCUGAUCAGUGCAGAUAACCUAUUGAUCAGUGCAGAUAACCUAUUGAUCAGUGCAGAUAAUGGGAAACCAUCAACAGUUGUUCUGUUGGAUAUCACUGCUGCCUAGAUAAGUGUGUUGGACUAAGUGGAAUUGUGCUUUCUUGGUUUUGUUAUCUAUACAACCAAAAGUACUGUGUCCUGUGGUGGUGCUGACUCUGAUAUGUUUAAUAUGUCUUCUGGUGUCCCGCAGGGUUCAGUUCUUGGCCCUCUUCUUUUCAAUCUCUAUAUUCUUCCAUUAGGUAGAGUAAUUAGAGAACAUGGAUUUCCAUUCCUAUGCGAUUGACACACAACUCUAUAUCAAAUUAACCCCUCAGUCAUGGCAGUUGCGGUGCUGAAAAAACAGUACAAGACUGGAGACGAAACAGACAAACCUAAACAUGGCGAAAGAAAAACGAGCUGAUAGAGGAGGAAAGUGUUAAUGGCCUGAGGUAGAAAACAUUUUGUUUGAAUGGAGUACCUUUAAUUACUUGAAUACAUACUGAAAACAUGUUCUGUGUGUCAGUGUAACGCAGUGGAACACUUGUAAAGUAUGUGUAUGGUUCUGAUUAACAAAACAAAAUGAAUGUAUUUGUACAGCUUGAAGUUUCAUACAAUUGUACUUCACCGUAUGCACAAUAAGAUGUUCUGUUUACUGGUUGUUAGAGGGUGCACUGUUUAGUUUAUUCUUUUUUUUUAUUUUGCUUUUUUAAUUGAUGCAAAGAGCCCUGUUUUAAUCAUUUUCUUUUAAAUUUGAAUUAAUACAACUAAUUUGUAAAAGCCAAUGCAGCUGCAACUGUUCAGUAAAGCAAAGAAGAUAUGUUCUAGAAGUGUUUGGGUACUUGACAAGCUAAAAUAAAAUAGGUUAAUACAGAUGUGAUGUAGGAUGUAUAACUUGAUUUUACGCUCUGUUGAUUAUUACUAUAAAUCCAUUCAAGUACCAUUUAUCGGUGGUUUACACUGUUACUACUGGAAUUUACAGUACUGUAGUAGUAUUAUGUCUAUUUUGAUUUAUUUUGACAUUGCAUUUAAAUUUACUUGAACCAAGUAUUUUGAAGUUUUGAAAAACUGAAUAGUUUCUAGCAGUUUAACUAAAAACGAAAAACACUGUAAAAUAUGAAUGUAAUAAAAUAUUGCAAACAACGGUUAUUUCAAACUAAACCUGUGUAUUUUUUUUUAUUUAUCGGUGUU